Long non-coding RNA from Taeniopygia guttata (zebra finch), 2708 nucleotides. RefSeq lists it as uncharacterized. The record is from RefSeq and is a predicted model, not a curated record. Lineage: Eukaryota; Metazoa; Chordata; Aves; Passeriformes; Estrildidae.
CCAGAACAGCCCAGACACUCUGAGCCUGAUCAUUCCUUAACAGUUGGCUGUUCCUGGUUCAAAACUUCUCUCUCCUUUUCAAUUAUCUAAAUAAGACUGAAGGAAUGAAGAGUGGCAAAGGCACUAAUUAGUGCAGACAGUGACCCAAAUCUCCAGGAAAAGCUAUGAGAAACCAUCAUGGCAAGCAAUGUGUGAACCACCAUACCUUGAUUUUUUUCUGUGUUUCCUGCAAUAUUCCAGAGGGAAGCAUAGUACAGUAGGAACAAUAAAUCCUAUUCACCUGCCACAAGUGGAAGAGUCAUUUACUUUUUACAAGAAUUAGGGAAUCUACAAAUUCCUUAACAGGUCAAAAAUGUAGUGCAUUAACCAAGGAUAGCAGAAGAAGGGACAUCAAGCGAUAGCUGGCUACAAGGUAGACUCAUGGAAGAUAAAAUCUCAAACCAGCUGUGAAUGGUGCAGUGCUGACCUGGUACAUUAACAUCAUGCAUUCACAGCUGCUGGUCCUGAGCAGAGAAGUCCUCCCUCCCAGCCAGGCACAGCGUGCCUGAAACAUCACAGAAUUCACCAAGGGGAUCACAGACCAGAGAACUGCAUCCAACAGCAGCUCACACCCGCUGCAGGGAGAGCCCAUAACCACCACACGGACAAUAUUGCUCUUUCCUCUCUGGAAAAUUGACCAUCAUCCAGAAAGGAAUGGGAGAUUCAUAGAAUGGAAAAAACUGUAAAGCCUAAUGUCUACAGAGUUCACUUGCUGAGGGAAUAGCCAUGUUCCUGAGUAUUAAUUUUAUGUUACAUACUCUUACAAUAAAAUACAUUAACUAUUUUGGCCAUGAGGGAAGAAGCACUUGCCAGUGAAUGCCCUUAUGAUAACGUGAUUUUGCAAAGGAUCCCUCUGGUCUCACAAUUCUUUUCGUUUCAGUUUCAAAAUGAUCCAGUUUUCAUCUUUCUCCUGUUUACUCCAAACACAAAACUUCUUAUGGUACCCUGGAUUGUGGGAGAAGAAUGUACUACUCCUUUUUAGAUGAGGACACCAGAAACAUGAUUUUACCACCUGAGUCAGUUACAGAAGGUGGAUGUCACUUUCCCUUUCACCUGAACAAAAGCUUAUUUGAUGGCUCACCAUCCUGUGAGUUUGGUAAACAAAGAUGUAGCACUGGUUUCUCUGCUUUAAAUGGAAAUCAAUCUUCCCAAUGUGAGUUAAGUGUGCUACAAAGAAAUAUACCAAACCUGACUGCUCAGUAGUUUAAGGUCUAGAAAGCCUUUGUGGAUCCCACAGGAACUUCAGACUAAUCUCACACUCAGCUCAAUAUAUAGCAUCUCUGAAAAUGGACACAACCAGGACUGCCAUGCCAAAGCCAGGCAAUAGCGCAAGCACUGGAGUCUUCACUUCUGAGGAGGGUUAGGCACAUUGCUCAUGCCUCAGUUAGACCUGUGUGGCAUCUGAAGUGCCGGAGUGUCUUUCUGGAUGUGGGCAUGGGUGCUAAAGAUAACAUUAACAACACAGCAACAGAAGCCCUUCAAGUCCUGGACUGUCAAACAUUGAGUCCUUAGCAACAAAUACCUACUGAGCAGCGAAGGCUGGAUCACAGGAAGAGAUGCUGAGAGUGUUUAAGUCAUUUUGUGACUGCGUAGUGGCUGCUUGUGCAAAAGAUACAUUUUCAAGUGUUUGCAGUACCACAGAAGCCUUGCAGCUGGUUCUGAGUCAUUCUGAGCAUCAGAAAAGGUGAUGAUCAUUAUAGGAAAUGAUCUCCAGUUACUUCAAAAUAUUAUUCUGGAAUGGAAAUUUCUGUGAGUUAUUUGCUCUAGGAGGUAUUUUGUGGUUAUUAGGCUCAUUUCUGUUGUUUUUGCAGAAAAGCACUGCCUACUCCUGCCCACGACUCUGCAAUGAUAGGCACAGCUGCAUCCCAUGAAGACUUACCAAAGCAUGAUUUAAAGAAAGCCAAUAAACAAAACAACAAAUAAUAGCUCGCUCAGCAGAUGCUGAACAUAGUGUCUUAUGCUGGAACAUUCUGGGAUUCUUCCUCCUUACAUCACUGCUGUGAAUAUUCACCAAAGCUCUCACAAAUCAGAGGCUUUAGCACCUAAGAGGACCAGAUUCUAUUAUUGCAACCUGAGCCAGAGGAUUCACAUAGCAGCCUCACCAUCACGCUGCUGACUGCUGCCAGUUCUCCUCUUUGUCUCCAGGCUUCCAGGACAAUGGUCUGGUCUGUUCCUUCCUGGAUAAAUUUAUCCCAGCUGUUCAGCUAAGAGAUUAUACAAGAUCACAUAAGUGCUUGUUGGAGAUGAGGAUUGCUUCCAGGCCUAGGAGCAGAAGCAUAGAGGCCAAGCAGCUGGGACUACUUGCUGGUUGAAAAUGUACUGAAGGUACAAAAUACCAAUCUUGCAAAAUUUUCAAAGAAAAUUUUCCUGACACUGACUUCCAUUCUACUGCAUUCUAAUAUCCAAAAGGAAAUGGUAGCAGUUUCUUGACUUAGGCAAUUAAGUUUCACCUGCUGAAUAAAGCUUUUAAAAACAGACUGCAGUGAGUAGCUUUUCCUGGGCAAGAAGACAGCCUCAUAAUAAGGGCUUGCUCUCUCAUAUGUCUAUGGUUCCUGAGAGACUACAGUUAACCAGGUAAUUAAGGUGAAAAAAAGGAGCUUAAAUGGUAGCCUAAACCUGUGAGAAAGGAGAAUGAUUAUAAACAGUGCAGACCAUAUUAAAGAAUUAUA